UACAGAGACCUCAAGCGUUGUCCGGAUUUAUUGGGCGUAAAGCGUCCGCAGACGGUUUAGUACGUCUUGCGUCAAAUGUCGGAGCUUAACUCCGACACUGCGUGGGAUACGGCUAAGCUAGAGGUUGGGAGAGGCAAACGGAAUUGCCGGUGUAGUAGUAAAAUGCGUUAAUAUCGGCAAGAACACCAAUUGCGAAGGCAGUUUGCUAGAACAAACCUGACGUUCAUGGACGAAAGCGUGGGGAGCGAAAGGG
RNAcentral lists this unclassified non-coding RNA (253 nucleotides) under Patescibacteria group bacterium. RNAcentral's name for it is "contains 16S-23S intergenic spacer region". It matches the Rfam family "Bacterial small subunit ribosomal RNA", at positions 524 to 776 of the family's 1533-position model. The record is from RNAcentral.